Molecule: non-coding RNA, 71 nt
Organism: Strigamia maritima
Lineage: Eukaryota; Metazoa; Arthropoda; Chilopoda; Geophilomorpha; Linotaeniidae
Source: Rfam
UCCCAGACAGCUUAAUGGUAAAGCACCCAACUGGCAAUUGGGGAAUCUGGGUUCAAGUCCCGGUCUGGGCU